GACGAACGCUGGCGGCGUGCUUAACACAUGCAAGUCGAGCGGACACAGCAGGACUUGCUCUCCCUGACCAGUGGCGAACGGGUGAGUAACACGUGAGUAACAUGCCCCUAACUUCGGGAUAACACCGGGAAAUCGUGGAUAAUACAGGGUAUGAGACCUUACUGCAUGGGCGGGUAUAGUAAGAUUUGGCGGUGGGGGCUGGAAUCGCGGCCUAUCAGCCUGUUUGUGAGGUAGCGGAUCACCAGGGCGACGACGGGUAGCCGGCCUGGGAGGGCGACCGGCCACACUGGGACUGAGAUACGGCCCAGACUCCUACGUGAGGCAGCAGUGGGGAAUAUUGCACAAUGGGCGCAAGCCUGAUGCAGCGGCGCCGCGUGCGUGAUGCAGUCCUUCGGGUUGUAAACCUCUGUCAGCAGGGAAGAAGCGAAAGUGACGGUACCUGCAGAAGAAGCGCCGGCUAACUACGUG
Molecule: ribosomal RNA, 468 nt
Filed under: uncultured bacterium
Lineage: Bacteria
Description: partial 16S ribosomal RNA
Rfam family: Bacterial small subunit ribosomal RNA
Source: RNAcentral